GUUCUUAUAGCUUAACCAAAGCAUAACACUGAAGAUGUUAAGAUGGUUGCUUCACGCACCUAAGGACA
This 68-nucleotide transfer RNA is filed under the name Chaetops frenatus (Rufous rock-jumper). Its description in RNAcentral is "tRNA-Phe". It matches the Rfam family "tRNA". From Rfam's summary of the family: Transfer RNA (tRNA) molecules are approximately 80 nucleotides in length. Their secondary structure includes four short double-helical elements and three loops (D, anti-codon, and T loops). The record is from RNAcentral. Lineage: Eukaryota; Metazoa; Chordata; Aves; Passeriformes; Picathartidae.